AUGGAACUGCUUAACGAGGUCAGUCAUUUGUGCGACCAGGGUUUCCACGGCGUGCCUUGCAGCGGACAAUUCCUCCUCGUGCUUGCCCAGCAUCGCCCCUUGGAUCUCGACGGCCGUCUGGAUUGGGUUCUCCCUUGCUGGGUCCAUGGUGGCCAGAUUAUUCUGUUAAGAGGUGAGCAAUUUCCAGAAGCAGUGGGAGCCCAUCGCGAGACCACAGGAGAUGCGAAGAGUCGCUUUGCUUGCUCUAAAGUGACAAGUUUCACACAUUCAUAAGGACCUGUGGAUUGGUGCAUUGAGCUGUAGCCAACAGUUCUACCUCACAUCUGGAGCUUCCACUGAUAUCUGCAGGACAGCCUGCCCAUCGAGAACAGCACAAACACAACUCGACUUGAUGAAAGGGGAUUUUGGCGCACCUGCCGUUUGAGGCUGUGGUCUUGGGCAGGGACAAAACCGAUGCACUGAGGCACCAUGGACAGAAUUAAUGGGCAUCAGACUUAAGGACUAGCACCAACCUGAAGCACCUGCACUUAUUUAAAUGAGAGCAAACGACUUGCUCGGGGUCCUUAAAACUAUUUACUUGGCAAUGUACUAUUGAGUAUUUAUGGGCUGUCAUUCACGAGGAGCUACACUGUGGCACUGACAAUUCAUCUUUAAGGUGAAAUUACAUUUGUGCUGUCAGAGCGGCCUAUUUUAAAACCCCCUAACCAAAUCAGCUCGACUAGGCAGUCUUGCUGAUGCAUUAGCUCUAAUUAAGUUGGCAGUGACAAAGCUUUGUCUAACAACGUGCUAAUUUAUUUCUCUAAAGAGUGUCGGUUGUUAGCAUGUGAUAAAAACGCAAACCGACGAGCAGUAUUUGGACGGUGAUCUUUGUCAAAGCACUCUGCUUGCAAGAAUUAUCAGUUAGCUUUGAUAUAGAAGCACAUUCGUGUUUUGUGUGAGAGUUACAAGGCAAUUGUGAACCACUGGUUUAAUGUAUUUGUUCAAAUCUUGAAAUGCUUAAGGUAAAGGUAAGUGAGGUAAAUACAGGAGAAUUGCACUUUAAUAUGUUAAUUAUAUUUCUUUGCUGUAGGCAGCAUAGCAUGAACUUCUUCCCCCGAUCAAUUAAUAUUUCUAACAAAGGGUUUGUUUUCCCACUCCCACGUUUAGUUGAACUGGGUUGAGUAUGCAUAAAAGUAAGCAAGCGUACAGUAUAUAUUUAUGAAAAGUGAUUCUGAUAUGUGGGAGUGUGACUUUAGGUCAGCUGAAAUGAAAAUCCACCAUUUUAAGACAGCGGUGAAAAUCUGUGAAUAAUUUUUUUUUUUUUUUUUUGACUCUUACUGAGAACUUUAGUAUAGUUUUCUUUUCCUUAAAAUUGUUUUUCACUUUCAAUUAUUAAUUUCUUCUUAUUAAAUCUUUUUUUAAACUACAUUUUCUUUCUCCCUGUCUUUUUGUCAUCAUAACCUUCUUAUUGUCAUCUUGGCUGCUUUUUAAACUUUUUAGUUUAACUUUUUUUUAAAUUAAUUAUUCUUUAAUUUGUAUGUGUGUUUCUCUCAUAUUCCAACUUUUUUACCAUAAAUUUGGCAGCAUAUCUUAAACUCUUUAUCAAUAUAUUAUUUUUAAAUUAUUAAUAUUAUAAUUUAAUUCACAGUUGUCUUUCUCCCUGUUUUUCUUUGCAAUUUGUCAGAAAGUGAAAGUGACGUAACAUACAGCCAAAUAUGGUGACCCAUACUCUGAAUUCGUGUUCUGCAUUUAACCCAUCCAAAGUGCACACACAACAGUGAACACCCUCAUACCAUGAACACACACCCAGAGCAGUGGGCAGCCAUUUAUGCUGCAGCGCCUGGGGAGCAGUUGGGGGUUCGGUGCCUUGCUCAAGGACAGCUCAGUCGUUGUUUCGCCGGCCCAAGGCUCGAACCCACAACCUUAGGGUUAGGAGUCAAACUCUCUAACCAUUAGGCCACGACUUCCCCAAUAACCUUCUGUCAUUUUGGCAGCAGACUAGACUGAGGAAUGUCUUAAUAUUUGGUAGAGGUACUUCUUUCACACCUUUCCCUUCGUUUUAGUAUUUACAGCUUGGUGUGUUAAAACAAGAACAUCCUGAUUUGAGUAACUCAUCUUCCCUCUACUUGUGUUUAUGCAGGUUAAGUUUCAAAAAACACAAUAUAUUCCACAUACUGUACAUUAUUGUUGCUCCUUUAUUCCCCACCUUUCUGAAACGCGUCGAUUUUUACAAAACUCAGCAUUCUGAAAAGCGAGGUGUGCUCUGAUUGGCCAGCAUUCAGUGCGUUGUGAUUGGCCGAAUACCUCAAGCGUGUGACGGAAAUGCUAUGCCCCUUACCGUAUUGUGAUGCCCUGUUUGUGUGUGUGUGUGUGUUUCAUUAAUAAUUGUAUUAUCACUGUUUUUAUUUCAUUUUUAAAAUACUCAUGCACUGAUUUUUUAUGAUACUUUGUCUGUACAUUGUUGUUUUUAUAAUUUAGAAUUUUAAUGCAUUUCUUUAAUUACAGUGUGAAAGAGAGAGGAGAAUGAAAAGGAAUAAAAAGAUAAAAUUUAAAAUUUCCUUGAAACCC
Long non-coding RNA from Cyprinus carpio (common carp), 2547 nucleotides. NCBI's taxonomy places the organism in Eukaryota, Metazoa, Chordata, Actinopteri, Cypriniformes, Cyprinidae. The record is from Ensembl.